CGGAUUGCAGCCUGCAACUCGGCUGCAUGAAGCUGGAAUCGCUAGUAAUCGCGGAUCAGAAUGCCGCGGUGAAUACGUUCCCGGGUCUUGUACACACCGCCCGUCACACCAUGGGAGCUGGUAACACCCGAAGUCAGUAGUCUAACCGCAAGGAGGACGCUGCCGAAGGUGGGAUUAGCGACUGGGGUGAAGUCGUAACAAGGUAAC
This 207-nucleotide ribosomal RNA is filed under the name uncultured bacterium. RNAcentral's name for it is "partial 16S ribosomal RNA". It matches the Rfam family "Bacterial small subunit ribosomal RNA", at positions 1294 to 1500 of the family's 1533-position model. The record is from RNAcentral.